This 273-nucleotide unclassified non-coding RNA is filed under the name Hevea brasiliensis (rubber tree). Lineage: Eukaryota; Viridiplantae; Streptophyta; Magnoliopsida; Malpighiales; Euphorbiaceae. The record is from RNAcentral.
GACUUGGGAUCAGAUCCUGCUGCCGUCAUGAAUAGGGAUUUCUGGGAAGUGGGAAUGGAAGGGAUAACCUCAUUGAUAGUUCAAACUUAAAACAUAUUACUGAAGGAAAAAUUGAUGGCUUACUCUGUAUCAAACUGUAGCUCUUUUCUCUGGGGAUGAUAUUUGGACUAAUCCUGCAGAAAUUCCAUUUCCCAAUCUUUGAUUGGGACAGUUUUUUCAAACUUAUUUUGGGCAGGUUCUGGAGAAACCUGAAUGUUUUCAAACGAUAAUGAG